Molecule: ribosomal RNA, 198 nt
Filed under: uncultured bacterium
Lineage: Bacteria
Description: partial 16S ribosomal RNA
Rfam family: Bacterial small subunit ribosomal RNA
Source: RNAcentral
ACGCUCGACACCUACUGGAGGCAGCAGUGGGGAAUAUUGCACAAUGGGGGAAACCCUGAUGCAGCGACGCCGCGUGAGUGAAGAAGUAUUUCGGUAUGUAAAGCUCUAUCAGCAGGGAAGAAAAUGACGGUACCUGACUAAGAAGCCCCGGCUAACUACGUGCCAACAGCCGCGUAAUCUGAGCGGGCGUGGCAAGGC